GAUGAAGAACGAAGCGAAAUGCGAUAAGUAAUGUGAAUUGCAGAAUUCAGUGAAUCAUCGAAUCUUUGAACGCACAUUGCGCCCGCCAGUAUUCUGGCGGGCAUGCCUGUUCGAGCGUCAUUUCAACCCUCAGGCCCCCAGUGCCUGGUGUUGGGGAUCGGCCCAGCCUUCCUGUAAGGCCGCCGGCCCCGAAAUCUAGUGGCGGUCUCGCUGUAGUCCUCCUCUGCGUAGUAGCACAACCUCGCAGUUGGAACGCGGCGGUGGCCAUGCCGUUAAACACCCCACUUCUGAAAGUUGACCUCGGAUCAGGUAGGAAUACCCGCUGAACUUAAGCAUAUCAAUAAGCGGAGGA
RNAcentral lists this unclassified non-coding RNA (352 nucleotides) under soil metagenome. RNAcentral's name for it is "partial contains 5.8S ribosomal RNA, internal transcribed spacer 2, and large subunit ribosomal RNA". The stretch from base 1 to 120 matches the Rfam family "5.8S ribosomal RNA", at positions 35 to 154 of the family's 154-position model. The record is from RNAcentral.